This 2252-nucleotide long non-coding RNA is filed under the name Mus musculus (house mouse). Its description in RNAcentral is "long non-coding RNA chrX:168942895-168945147". Lineage: Eukaryota; Metazoa; Chordata; Mammalia; Rodentia; Muridae. The record is from RNAcentral.
UUUGGGGCUGGAUAAUUCUCUGUUGUUGGGAAGCUAUCAUUCUGAACACUGAAAGACUGUAGAAAAGACUCCUACAUAAUAGAUGUCCUGUGCACACUCUCUGAUAGCAAGAAGAAUUGGUUUUUGUUAUGGAUAAGUGAGACAAGUAACACCUAUUUUAGAUUUGAAAAUGAUAGGAUAAGACAGUGGAGGGAAGGGCUAGGUGAUGUUCAUUCAUUGACUGCAGAUAUGCUUUUGGGUAUUAUCUUCAUUUGAAGAUAAGUAGAUGCUUAGGAUUUGUGAUAAUGCAAGUUAUAGGAAAGGGGAUGGGAAGAAGAUAAAUUAAUGACUUCAAUCUUGCUAUCAGUGUGAAUUCAUCACCCUUGCUGGAUCCACACCUUUGGAGACACUGAAUUUCUACUCCUGAUAAGAACAAUACUGAAUUCCUUGCCCCUUGACUUGCUUUGGCGAGUAGAUAAGACAGAUGUGGCAGCCUGCUGGUUUCAAGGCUAAGCACUAAGAGGCCUUGCCUGGAGUCUGCUUGUUCUCUUGAGACUCUGCCAAGAAAGAGUUGCCUGGACUAACUCACGUUCUUGAGUGGAGGAUGAGUAAUAUGCAGAGGAUGGCCCAGCUAGAUCAUCUAGCCCCAAGCGACUUGGAGACGGGUGAACUAACCUAAUGCCCACUGUUUUAGUGUGAUAUGUCCCUGAAAUGUCAUGUUUUUCUUUUGUUCAUAUUGUUAUAUGUCAUAAAUUUUGAAUUUUGGAGAGAAAAAUGCAUUGAAGACCAUGGCUAGGAGAAUAGAAGCUGAAGCUUGAAUGUGAAUAGGAGAAUAGAAGCUGAAGCUUGAAUGUGAAUAGGAGACCCUGUUGGACAGUAUAAUCUGGAAGUGUUUACAUCUGUGCUUCUGAGGAAGAGUGGAGAAGAUGACAAAGAAAGCAAGCUACAGUACAGGAAAACAAAACAAAGCCAUGAUCUUUGGAACUGGAAAACCUGUGUUUAAAUGUCAUUUUUAUUUAUUACAAGCAAUGUGGCUUUGAGCAAGAGGUUGACAUUUCCUCUGCCUCAGUUUUCUCAUCUGCUAAAUGGCAGAAAGUAGGACCUAUGUUACAUAUUAUUUUGAGUAAAACGUGCACUUGUUGCAGUAGAUGUUAAUGUAGUAUAGCAGAGUGCUCAAUAGAUGUUAGAUGUUGUCUAAAAGAUUCAGUAUGUAUGAUGACUGAAAUACUGCUUGCAUCCUCUGGCUCAGACACUUGGUGAGGCUUUUUAAGUAUAAAAGGAUGCUUCUCAAGAGAAAAAAAUAGGCAGAAAAUGACUGGGGGAGGAAGGAGUAGAGGGAUGUUGUUUAAUGGGGACAGAAUCUCAUUUGGGGAAGAUGAAAAUAUCCUAAAGAUGGCACAACAAUGCGAAUGCAGUUACUGCCACUGGUUUGCACACAUAAAAAUGGUUAAAAAUGGUAGAUCUCCUGUUCUAAAUAUGGCACUAUUAAUAAGGGCUUCUCAACCUGUGGGUCUCCGCCUCCACAUAGGUCAAAUAUCAGAUAUGCUGGGUAUCAUGUAUUUGUAUUAUAAUUCAUAACAGGAGCACAUUACACUUGUAAAGUAACAACAAAAUACUUUUAUGGUUGGGGGUCACCACAACAUGAGGAACUGUAUUAAAGGGUCACAACAUUAGAAUGGUUGAGAACCAUUGUUCUAAUUAAAGAAACACAAAGGAAAAGACAAAGAAGACGAAUAAUUAAAUUAUGUAAAAUAGAACUCUUUGGAAAUAAAAAUACAAGACUGUUUCUCUACCAGUGAGUAUUGGGUCUGAGACAUACUUAUAACUGUUUUUAUUACUGAAUAUGUUAAGAAUAGAGGGAUGAGAGCAGUGCCUAGGAACAGAACUAGCCACAUUUCAUUGACAGGAAACCCUGAUGACUUAUAUGUACUUAACAACAGUCAACUUCAACAAGAAAGUUGUGAGUCACCAUUGGAGAUCUCAGGUUUGGCAUUGCAGAGAUUUCGUGGGGUCUUUGGAUUCCAUCCUAAGAUUUUAAUCUUCUUUUUGUUUGUUUGUUUGUUUCUUGAAAUAGCAAUGCCUUUUCACAGAGCAAUAAGGUCUUCAGAUAAAGCUCCAGGAAAUUCUAGAGAGUGCUUUAUGGAGAUUGUUUACUGUUCUGAAAAGGACAGAAUUCUUCCAUUACUAAUUUGUAUGAAUCACUUUGUAAUAAACAAGAUGGUUUUGUGCCCACGACAAUGACACAUUUGGUUCUUUUAAUACAAAAUAUAUUU